This is a long non-coding RNA of Gigantopelta aegis, 2934 nucleotides long. RefSeq lists it as uncharacterized. The transcript has 3 exons. Lineage: Eukaryota; Metazoa; Mollusca; Gastropoda; Neomphalida; Peltospiridae. The record is from RefSeq and is a predicted model, not a curated record.
UUCUCUUUCACUAACUACUAACUCAUUGUCCUGGACAGACAGCUGAGGUGUGUGUGCCCAGGACAGCGUGCUUGAACCUUAAUUGGAUAUAAGCACGAUCAUAAGUUGAAAUGAAAAUGAAAUGAUAGCCAAAACCUGCUAUAUCAGCUCACAGCAGUUGUUGAACACUGACAAUAAAUUUUGUAUCAAAGUUUGUACGUGUGUAUUGUUGUAAUUGAUGAUGUAGAAACUUUUUGUCGCUGCAUUUUACAGAAAUCUAGUUGAAGUUGAAUACUAAUGUAUACUUAUUGAUUUGUUGACAUUAUGCGAUGACCAGUGUCAGAAUAACAUUUAUGAAACGUACGUCAGUGGAGGAAAAACAUUGUGAGCUAGCAUUUUUUAAAAAAAUAUUUUCCGUUUUAAUCACUAACCCAUCGGGCUACUGGUUUUGCAUUUGACACUAGCCCCGUGUUAAAACCCACUAGCCCCGGGCGUCGGGCUAGCCGAUUUGUCGAACUCUGGACUAAAAACAUGUGUCAAUCCAUUACCAUAGUAAAACCAAUCAUAAUUGUGUUACAUGUUACGAUUUUGAAAAUAAAUAUAGCUUUAUUCAAAGGUCUUCUCAAAACAAAUUUUAGAUGUAAAUAUGUAACACAAAAUUGUGUGCUAUCUAAUCUGGUAACUGUAGAAUUGUCCACGAGUAUUUAUCUCAUUUAAUUAAGCGAAACACAUAAAUAACCAGUAUUGUUUCAUGUAUCAAUAGCAUAAAAAUAGAAACAAUGAUUUAAAAAAAUAACAACAAUAAUAUCCCCACCCAAAAAACAAACAAUCCAAAACCCCAACAAUCAUGAAUGACAUUGAUAAGAACUAUAAUAUAACUUUUAAACAUGUACAUGUAAUAAGAUUAAAGUGCUUAAAAAUUAAAUUUAUAUACAUGCAUUUAACUGUCUGCACAUGAUGCCUUGUAUGCAACAUUUAAGUAGGCCUACAGGUACAUAUGAUAACAUUUACGUAACAAUAUUACCCCGUAAACUUAACAAUAUUAAUGUAACUAGGUUUCUAAUGCAUCUUACCAUUGCAUAACAUACAAGCAGAAGAGGCAAAAUAAUAAUGAUCGCAUUUUUCUUGUUUCAUGUAUAGCAUGCAUUAUUUGCAAGUAGGGGACAACCAUUACUGACACCCACCCUCAAACACACCCACACCCUCACACACAUACCCACACCCUCACACACGCUAUGCAAUACUGUCACCCGUUGACAAUAAUGGGUUUUACUGCAACCAUUACUGUCACCAGUUAAUCUCUACGUGAGUGAACGACAACCACUGUUGUAACACGUUAACAAUAAAUGUAACUGAAAACACCAUUGUCAGCGGGUUGUAAUAGUCGUUGCUUUUCAUAGAUCUAGGUUAUAAUGUUACACCCAUAUGGUCCGAAGGGGAUCGGUCUUAAAGCAACCGUGCAUCGGGCAAGCACUUUACCACUAGGCCGAGUCGAAUUUUCAAUGAAUAUAACUUUCUUAAUGUCUUCUCAAAGUAAACUUGUAAAGAUGUAAAUAUGGACCGCUAAAAAUGUAAUCCAUUAACCGUAAAAUUGUAUUUAAUUAAUCAAAACACACAAAUAACCAGUGCACCGUUCCACGUAAUAAUUGUAGCUAAAGUUAAUUGUAGUGACUUAAGGUUAGUUUUACAACUGGCAACGUAAACUUUACAGCCGUUCCACAAAGCAACUUUAUGGCAGACGUAAGUGCUCCUUUAAUGCUUAAAAUCUUCUUUGCGAAGUAGUGCGAAUUAUUUAAAUAAUAAAUUGGUUGCCGACUUUUUUGGAAUAUCUUGGAUGUAUUCAUUGGUAUCGGACAUCCAUGAAGUAACUGUCAGUUUAUUUGCCAAGUGAUAAUUGGCGAAUGCAUAAGACAUGAGAGUUAUCCCCCAUAUUUUCGCAUGACGGUCGUAUAGCCUAGACUGUUUUUUUUGUGGGUGUUUUUACCGAACGCCAGGUUUCAUAAAAGUUAUUUGGUAUAGACAAUAACCUUUUUACACAAAAUGUUUGUAUUAUUCUUAGUAAAUGAUCAAAUCAUCAUUUAACUGCCAUUUAACAUCUACGUUAUUGGCUUACAAACUGUCUCGAACCUAAUGUAAUUUGUCACAGAAAUGUACGACAAUUGUAAGCUACGCCGCUUCGUGGAACGGGCUGGCGAUCGUAGAAAAAAGUUUGGGUCGCGAUGGUAGUGCUAAGAUCGCUUCGUGUAACGGGCUGGCGAUCGUAGACAAACAUAAAGGUCGCGAUGGUAGGUAUUUACGGCGAUAGUAGUGCUAAGAUCGCUUCGUGUAACGGACUGGCGAUCGUAGAAAAAAAGUUAAGGUCACGAUGGUAGGUAUUUACGGCGAUAGUAGUGCUAAGUUCGCUUCGUGGAACGGGCUGGCGACCGUAGACAAACAUUAAGGUCGCGAUGGUAGGUAUUUACGGCGAUAGUAGUGCCAAGAUCGCUUCGUGGAACGGGAUGGCGACCGUAGACAAACAUUAAGGUCGCGAUGGUAGGUAUUUACGGCGAUAGUAGUGCCAAGAUCGCUUCGUGGAACGGGCUGGCGACCGUAGACAAACAUUAAGGUCGCGAUGGUAGGUAUUUACGGCGAUAGUAGUGCCAAGAUCGCUUCGUGAAACGAGCUGGCGACCGUACACAAACAUUAAGGUCGCGAUGGUAGUGCUAAGAUCGCUUCGUGGAACGGGCUGGCGACCGUACACAAACAUUAAGGUCGCGAUGGUAGGUAUUUACGGCGAUAGUAGUGCUAAGAUCGCUUCGUGAAACGGGCUGGCGACCGUAGACAAACAUUAAGGUCGCGAUGGUAGUGCUAAGAUCGCUUCGUGGAACGGGCUGGCGAUCGUACACAAACAUUAAGGUCGCGAUGGUAGUGCUAAGAUCGCUUCGUGGAACGGGCUGGCGACCGUACACAAACAUU